Long non-coding RNA from Triticum aestivum (bread wheat), 758 nucleotides. RefSeq lists it as uncharacterized. The record is from RefSeq and is a predicted model, not a curated record. The transcript is spliced from 5 exons. NCBI's taxonomy places the organism in Eukaryota, Viridiplantae, Streptophyta, Magnoliopsida, Poales, Poaceae.
CCCACACGUGGUGAGCUCCAACCUCUCUUUCCAACCCCUGAACAUCUGAUCUGAAGUGGACAUCAAUUUUAAUUGUUAUGUACACAACAUGGAUGUGGCACGUGAUGGCAGCAGGGCGCUUGAAUGGUUUCUAACCAAGAUACUGCAUCCGACCACUGCCUCCUGACAGGGUAGUGCAGAUCAAGUAGCCUCCAUUGGGUGACUGCUGCUGAGGCCUAAUUGGCCGAUCGUGGUCGUGCUCCUACUCCUACUCCUGCUCCAGUCCGUUUAAUAUCAAGGACGUCCUCCUCCCCUCCUCCUACCCCCACACGUGGUGAGGUCCAAUGCAUAUGUGGAUAAUCAGGAACUGGUGGUACAACUGUUUAAUCGGUAUUUAUCAGUUCUUUCUACUUACAUGGCGGAUAUAUCUACAAGUAAACCUACAGGGUUAUGAUGAUAUUUCCAAGGAAAUAUACUGACCCAGAUGUGACGAAGGGAAGGCCAAAGAAAGAAAACACAAAAACAGUAGCAUGCAACUGCCAAGCCUUGAUCAGACUACACCGUACAACAGAAAAUGGAUGGUAUAUACACGAUUUCAGAACUGAACACAACCACCAUUUUGUCAUCGUCGUGUGGCGAGAAACUACAUUGGCCAUCACACAGGAUCAUUGACACACCAAAUAUAUAGUGAAAUGAUGUGCUCUAUGUUCAUUCUACUGUGUUAUUGAGAUCCUGUGGUGUAAUUAUACUGCUGUGUUAUUUUGAGAAUUAUAUUAUUA